This 40-nucleotide small nuclear RNA is filed under the name Cervus elaphus hippelaphus. Lineage: Eukaryota; Metazoa; Chordata; Mammalia; Artiodactyla; Cervidae. The record is from RNAcentral.
AUCACUUCUCGGCCUUUUGGCUAAGAUCAAGUGCAAUUUC